This is a long non-coding RNA of Camponotus floridanus (Florida carpenter ant), 535 nucleotides long. RefSeq lists it as uncharacterized. The transcript has 3 exons. NCBI's taxonomy places the organism in Eukaryota, Metazoa, Arthropoda, Insecta, Hymenoptera, Formicidae. The record is from RefSeq and is a predicted model, not a curated record.
CAUAAAUCAACAUAAAUAUAACAUAUGCACAAGUAAAAGUAAAGUCACUAGAUUUCAUAUCGUUGAAAUUUUAUACAUAUGUAUAUGCAAGAGCUAAUUUUAGCCAUUUUAUAGGACAUUACUGUGACAUUGUUCUAGAAUAUCAUCCGAUAAUUUAUAUACUUAUUAUAAUCUAUGAUUCUCUGAUUAAACCAGUCUGAUAUUCUUUGACAACCGGGUAUUCAGUUUUCGCUCACCAAGUUAUUCCAUUGUGCAGGAGAAUAUAAUAAUAAAAAGUACGGGUGGCACCCGAUGGACUACGUCCCCAAUUGGCCAAUUCAAAAUAGGACUCUCUGAUUGGUUAAUCGUUGCUGGUUACCCUAGGCACAGGUCGAUAUAAUUGGCUGUGGUCAAUCGCAACGUGGUCAAACGGGACGCUCCCAAAAGGUUUAACAAUAUUCCAGAAGAAAAAAAAUACUAUAAAUAGUGGAGUCAGAAGAUGGAAUCAGAAAAAGUAAAUGAUCUCACUCAAGAAUAUGAAUAUGAAUAUAAUGAA